GAAUUUUUCUGCCCACCCACUCUACCAGCUAAUUUUCCGAAGACUAAUUAGGUUGUUGAAUAUUUUUUUAAAAUGCUCCACUUCCGGAGACAAAGAAAGGGUAUAGCAACCUGAUACUUGCUAUACAUAAAGAUUGGUAAGAGGAAAAAACCCUGUCAGGGAGGAAAUCUUAUUUUGCAGAGUGAAGUAGAGGAAUUAGACUUGACUAUUUCUGGAAUACGAACUUAGCUAGGCGAGGAGACUCUAUUUCCUGAUUUAGGGUUUUCCAUGGCCAAUCUCCACUGUGACCUCGUGGACAAAAAAUGAUUUUUGUUUUCUUCAGAGAAGAACAAGUAGGUGGUUGAUUUAGAGGCUGUUGGACUGGCUCAAUUUUCAGAACAAGUGAUUUACUGUGGAUCUUUCAGAAUUCCUCUUUUAAUAAGUUUUAUUUUUAAAGAAAAGCAAUGAUAACUGAGAUUUCUGGUCCUCUGACCAAGUAGAUGAAAGUUAUCAAAGGGCAAGCAGCACCAGGUUUCCUUGUCCCACUUGUGCCCAGAAGAAGAAGAAGAAGAAAUUCAGAUGCUGCUGAAGUCUAGCAAGGACACAGAGCCGCAGUGGUGUUUAGUUCCUGUUGAAGGUCAGCCUGCAACAAGCUUGGCAUCCAGGAAGCAAUUCAAUUCUGUUUAGAAAUCGUAUCUGCAAGUGUUGAAACAUGCUGAGGAGAGAAAUACUUAAAUUUUACAGGAAAGAGCAAAAUCAAGUAUAUGCUUUCAAUGGACUUAGCUCUUUCAGGAUAUUUUCUGCCUUGGUACUAAAACUCCUAAUGCGGUACCCCGAGCCAAAGACAACAAAUACCUUCGUGCACAGCAUCUCUCCACCCUCCCUCGCUCAGGCAGCUACUGUGAGGCAGUCACAGUGUUUGUUUAUGAAAACUUCAAAGAUAAAGACUACCCAAUGGUGUCAAAAGAAAAAGCAACAGCAGUAAAGGCAUCCAGAUGUGACUGCACAUGGUACAUUGGAAAAAACACGGGCUGUCAAGUCAGACAGAUGGAGGCUCAAACCCUGAUUCUACCACUUAAAAGCCUUGACGAUUGACGUUCUCUGAAAUUUUGCUUCCUUGUCUGUGAAAGGGGGCUCUUAAGAAUGCAUCACAUGGAAUUGCUAUAGGAAUGAAAUGAGACGUAUCCUGUCAAGUAGUACGAAUAUUAUCUCUGGUGAACAAUAAUUUUCAAUUUCCUUCUCCUCCCUCACCUCCAGACAUCUAGAUGGAAUGGUCUCUGGUUAACUUAAAAGCCAUCUCUAAUUUCGGCUUCCAAACGUGUAAUACCAUAAUAACUACAAAUAAAUGACAACAACAAUCAAUGAUGUAGUACUCUGAUUAUUGAGUGGUAUUUGGCUUCUG
RNAcentral lists this long non-coding RNA (1381 nucleotides) under Equus asinus (donkey). RNAcentral's name for it is "lncRNA (ENSEASG00005026001.1)". Lineage: Eukaryota; Metazoa; Chordata; Mammalia; Perissodactyla; Equidae. The record is from RNAcentral.